RNAcentral lists this transfer RNA (77 nucleotides) under Sorangium sp. RNAcentral describes it as "tRNA-Pro". It matches the Rfam family "tRNA". From Rfam's summary of the family: Transfer RNA (tRNA) molecules are approximately 80 nucleotides in length. Their secondary structure includes four short double-helical elements and three loops (D, anti-codon, and T loops). Further hydrogen bonds mediate the characteristic L-shaped molecular structure. tRNAs have two regions of fundamental functional importance: the anti-codon, which is responsible for specific mRNA codon recognition, and the 3' end, to which the tRNAs corresponding amino acid is attached (by aminoacyl-tRNA synthetases). tRNAs cope with the degeneracy of the genetic code in two manners: having more than one tRNA (with a specific anti-codon) for a particular amino acid; and 'wobble' base-pairing, i.e. permitting non-standard base-pairing at the 3rd anti-codon position. The record is from RNAcentral. Lineage: Bacteria; Pseudomonadati; Myxococcota; Polyangiales; Polyangiaceae.
CGGGGAAUAGCACAGCCUGGCAGUGCGCGAGUUUUGGGAACUCGAGGUCGGGGGUUCGAAUCCCCCUUUCCCGACCA